RNAcentral lists this ribosomal RNA (303 nucleotides) under uncultured bacterium. RNAcentral's name for it is "partial 16S ribosomal RNA". It matches the Rfam family "Bacterial small subunit ribosomal RNA", at positions 507 to 808 of the family's 1533-position model. The record is from RNAcentral.
AGCAGUCGCCGCGGGAAUACGUAGGUCCCGAGCGUUGUCCGGAUUUAUUGGACGUAAAGCGAGCGCAGGCGGUUAGAUAAGUCUGAAGUUAAAGGCUGUGGCUUAACCAUAGUACGCUUUGGAAACUGUUUAACUUGAGUGCAAGAGGGGAGAGUGGAAUUCCAUGUGUAGCGGUGAAAUGCGUAGAUAUAUGGAGGAACACCGGUGGCGAAAGCGGCUCUCUGGCUUGUAACUGACGCUGAGGCCCGAAAGCGUGGGGAGCAAACAGGAUUAGAUACCCCCGUAGUCCCUGUCUCUUAUACA